Molecule: ribosomal RNA, 497 nt
Filed under: uncultured bacterium
Lineage: Bacteria
Description: partial 16S ribosomal RNA
Rfam family: Bacterial small subunit ribosomal RNA
Source: RNAcentral
GAUGAACGCUGGCGGCGUGCCUAAUACAUGCAAGUCGAGCGAACAGACGAGGAGCUUGCUCCUCUGACGUUAGCGGCGGACGGGUGAGUAACACGUGGAUAACCUACCUAUAAGACUGGGAUAACUUCGGGAAACCGGAGCUAAUACCGGAUAAUAUAUUGAGCCGCAUGGUUCAAUAGUGAAAGACGGUUUUGCUGUCACUUAUAGAUGGAUCCGCGCCGCAUUAGCUAGUUGGUAAGGUAACAGCUUACCAAGGCAACGAUGCGUAGCCGACCUGAGAGGGUGAUCGGCCACACUGGAACUGAGACACGGUCCAGACUCCUACGGGAGGCAGCAGUAGGGAAUCUUCCGCAAUGGGCGAAAGCCUGACGGAGCAACGCCGCGUGAGUGAUGAAGGUCUUCGGAUCGUAAAACUCUGUUAUUAGGGAAGAACAAAUGUGUAAGUAACUAUGCACGUCUUGACGGUACCUAAUCAGAAAGCCACGGCUAACUACGUG